CAUGGAGGGUGAGAAUCCCGUUCAUGGUUAAUCUUAAGGAAGCUCUACGAUACGUUUUCCAAGAGUCGAGUUGUUUGGGAUUGCAGCUCAAAAUGGGAGGUAAAUUUCUCCUAAGGCUAAAUAUUGGCGAGAGACCGAUAGCGAACAAGUACCGUGAGGGAAAGAUGAAAAGAACUUUGAAAAGAGAGUUAAACAGUACGUGAAAUUGUUGAAAGGGAAACGAUUGAAGUCAGUCAUACCAACGGGAAAUCAACCUUUUGAGCUUGGUUUCGUGGGUUUUGAAGAGUUUCAAAGCCUUCGGAUUCGCGAGAUUGGGAUCUCUUGGUGUACUUUUUCGUACGGUUAGUCAACAUCGGUUUUGAAUGUCAUAAAAUGACUGGAGGAAUGUAGCUUCGAUCUCGUAUUGAAGUAUUAUAGCCUUUGGUAGAUGUGAUGUUUGAGACCGAGGAUUGCAACGGAUACCCUUCAGGGCUAUUCGUCUGAUCUCUGAUACGUUGCCUUGAUGUUGAAAGCUUGCUUAUGAUGUUAGGGUAUUACGGUCAAAAGGUUAGAACGAAUUACAUUCGUUAAGGAUGUUGACGUAAUGG
Molecule: ribosomal RNA, 587 nt
Filed under: uncultured Funneliformis
Lineage: Eukaryota; Fungi; Glomeromycota; Glomeromycetes; Glomerales; Glomeraceae
Description: LSU rRNA
Rfam family: Eukaryotic large subunit ribosomal RNA
Source: RNAcentral